RNAcentral lists this long non-coding RNA (512 nucleotides) under Mytilus galloprovincialis (Mediterranean mussel). The record is from RNAcentral. Lineage: Eukaryota; Metazoa; Mollusca; Bivalvia; Mytilida; Mytilidae.
CUCGUUACAUUGAAGACCUGUUGGUGAUCUUCUGCUGUUGUCUGCUCUGUGGUCGGGUUGUUGUCUCUUUGGCACAUUCCCCUUUUCUAUUCUCAACUGUAAUGUUCAAAUGAAAUACCAUAAAUAGUUGAAGAUAACAAAUCAAGGUCACAAUACGUAAUGAUUAUCCAACGUUUUCACCUGGCAAACAACAUAUCAUCAGAUUCCUAUGUUCAAAGACUCAUAACUCCUAGAAGAGUCGUCUAGUCCAAAACUUAUUUCAGGACAUUCACAUUUACAAACUACUUAAUAUCUGCAAGUCUCGUGAAACUCUUGUGUGUCGUUUCCGAUGAAUGGCGAUGAUUAGCUGUUACAGUAGUAUGUUUAGGCCAAUCAAUAUAUGGGCAUAACUCAUAAAUGAAAAUAAUGAAACAGAUAUGAUCAUCUAAAAUGUAUUUCAUAAUUAACUACAAGGUUGCAUGACAAUCUAGUGGGAGAGAGAAGUUUUGGUGACAGUAACAGAACUGACGGAC